This 246-nucleotide long non-coding RNA is filed under the name Canis lupus dingo (dingo). RNAcentral describes it as "lncRNA (ENSCAFG00020014823.1)". Lineage: Eukaryota; Metazoa; Chordata; Mammalia; Carnivora; Canidae. The record is from RNAcentral.
GCUGAGAAGUCCUAACAUCAGGAAGAGAGGGCCUUUUCUCAGCUCUCCUCAUGCUAAGAGGAUCCUGGUUGCUUCUGGUAAAAUCCUGAGGGACGCUGACACCCUGAAUCGCCAUGGGCAAUGAGAACAGCACCUCGGAAAGCCAGCAAGAGAACUCCGGCUUGCAUAACGUCAUCCUGUGGCCUCCAAACCCUGAGCCUGCACAGGUACCGGGAGGUGUGCUAUGUGUGGUCUGCUCUCUGCCCC